AUUUCUUAUAUUGAGAACAAAUUUUUGAUUAUCUUUUGGUAAAAAUCUUUCUUAUAUUUCUCUCUCUACAUACCUCUCUCCUCUUUUCUACNCACAUCUUUCUUAUAUUUCUCUCUCUACAUACCUCUCUCCUCUUUUCUACAUAUCUCUCGAGUAAUCUGAACCACCGUCACCAUCAACGGACCUCCAUCCGAACGACCAUAAUGCCGCCGAAAUCACGGUAAUGAUGCCGGAACCACCAUAAUUUCAUCAGAAUCAUCUAGCUGCUUCUUCACUCU
This 278-nucleotide long non-coding RNA is filed under the name Lactuca sativa (garden lettuce). RNAcentral's name for it is "long non-coding RNA (LSAT_LNC008156)". Lineage: Eukaryota; Viridiplantae; Streptophyta; Magnoliopsida; Asterales; Asteraceae. The record is from RNAcentral.